RNAcentral lists this ribosomal RNA (508 nucleotides) under uncultured bacterium. RNAcentral's name for it is "partial 16S ribosomal RNA". It matches the Rfam family "Bacterial small subunit ribosomal RNA", at positions 29 to 523 of the family's 1533-position model. The record is from RNAcentral.
AUUGAACGCUGGCGGCAGGCCUAACACAUGCAAGUCGAGCGGCAGCGGGAAAGUAGCUUGCUACUUUUGCCGGCGAGCGGCGGACGGGUGAGUAAUGCCUGGGGAUCUGCCCAGUCGAGGGGGAUAACUACUGGAAACGGUAGCUAAUACCGCAUACGCCCUACGGGGGAAAGCAGGGGACCUUCGGGCCUUGCGCGAUUGGAUGAACCCAGGUGGGAUUAGCUAGUUGGUGAGGUAAUGGCUCACCAAGGCGACGAUCCCUAGCUGGUCUGGGAGAGUGAUCAGCGGCACUGGAACUGAGACACGGUCCAGGAUCAUACGGGAGGCAGUAGUGGGGAAUAUUGUAAAAUGGGGGAAACCAUGAUGCAGCCAUGCCGCGUGUGUGAAGAAGGCCUUCGGGUUGUAAAGCACUUUCAGCGAGGAGGAAAGGUUGGUAGCUAAUAACUGCCAGCUGUGACGUUACUCGCAGAAGAAGCACCGGCUAACUCCGUGCCAGCCGCCGCAGUAA